This 797-nucleotide long non-coding RNA is filed under the name Homo sapiens (human). RNAcentral describes it as "HSALNT0216366". The record is from RNAcentral. Lineage: Eukaryota; Metazoa; Chordata; Mammalia; Primates; Hominidae.
CCCCUGGCUCAGACAAGGGAGGUGGUGGACUGGCCAUGGCAGCUGUCCAGACUUGAUAUCACCCUGAACGUCCCCAAACCUCCCUCCCUCCACUCUUGCUUCGCCCUGACCAGAGAUGGAGGGUGGUGCUGGGAAUAGGAGGUAGGUGAGUGCCUGUCCUGGCCAACAGCAGAGGCCCUCGAGGGAAACUGCACCGCAGGUGUCACUCUAGAGCCCACAGCGGGGGCUGUCAACCUGGAGUGUGCAGCAGAAUCGCCUACAGCCCUCUGGCCCAGCCCCAGUGACUCUGGGUGAGUGGGUCUGGGGUGCAUUUCAAACAAGUUUCCAGGCGCUGCUGCCGCCAGUCCUAUCUGGAGACGACUCUCUGAGAAGCACAAGGUGGCCAGAGGGACAGGAGUGUCCUCAGACCGCCUCUCCCAGAGAGUGGGCCUCCUCAGUCCGCACCCCAGACAGGAUAUGCCAGCCUUGAAGCCUCUGUGGACAUCUCCAUGCUCAGGGGCGAUGCCCGGCCUCUGCCAACCACGCCAGCUUAGAUGAAGUCCAGGCACCUCCCUCAGUUCACCGUGUGCCCCUGAGCGAGUCUCUCGCCCACUCUGAGCCUCAGUUUCCUUAUCUGCACAGUGAGGAGGGGAGCAAGGCCACGUGCAGCUAUUUGAGCAGGUGUUGUGGCUGUUGAGCUGAAGUCUCACCAUCAUAGCUUGUGUUGUAAAGCAAGGAGCAGCAAGCUACGGGUCUGCAGGCCAAAUUUAGCCUGCUGCUUGUUUUGUAAAUAAAGUUUUACCGGCACACAGUCAUGC